RNAcentral lists this ribosomal RNA (216 nucleotides) under uncultured Glomeraceae. RNAcentral describes it as "partial small subunit ribosomal RNA". It matches the Rfam family "Eukaryotic small subunit ribosomal RNA", at positions 569 to 787 of the family's 1831-position model. Lineage: Eukaryota; Fungi; Glomeromycota; Glomeromycetes; Glomerales; Glomeraceae. The record is from RNAcentral.
AGCAGCCGCGGUAAUUCCAGCUCCAAUAGCGUAUAUUAAAGUUGUUGCAGUUAAAAAGCUCGUAGUUGAAUUUCGGGGUUAGUAGGUCGGUCGUGCCUCGGGUAUGUACUGGUCUCACUGAUUCCUCCUUCCUGAUGAACCGCAAUGCCAUUAAUUUGGUGUUGCGGGGAAUCUGGACUGUUACUUUGAAAAAAUUAGAGUGUUUAAAGCAAGCUC